RNAcentral lists this ribosomal RNA (376 nucleotides) under uncultured bacterium. RNAcentral's name for it is "bacterial SSU rRNA". It matches the Rfam family "Bacterial small subunit ribosomal RNA", at positions 438 to 812 of the family's 1533-position model. The record is from RNAcentral.
AUAAGGGAAUAAAGUGUGGGACGUGUCCUAUUUUGUAUGUACCUUAUGAAUAAGGAUCGGCUAACUCCGUGCCAGCAGCCGCGGUAAUACGGAGGAUCCGAGCGUUAUCCGGAUUUAUUGGGUUUAAAGGGUGCGUAGGCGGCCUUUUAAGUCAGCGGUGAAAGUCUGUGGCUCAACCAUAGAAUUGCCGUUGAAACUGGGGGGCUUGAGUAUGUUUGAGGCAGGCGGAAUGCGUGGUGUAGCGGUGAAAUGCUUAGAUAUCACGCAGAACCCCGAUUGCGAAGGCAGCCUGCCAAGCCAUGACUGACGCUGAUGCACGAAAGCGUGGGGAUCAAACAGGAUUAGAUACCCUGGUAGUCCACGCAGUAAACGAUGA